Molecule: long non-coding RNA, 767 nt
Filed under: Androctonus crassicauda
Lineage: Eukaryota; Metazoa; Arthropoda; Arachnida; Scorpiones; Buthidae
Source: RNAcentral
UUUAUUUUCCUAAUAUUUUCAUAACAUUAAGAUGCUUUUUUUGUAUUGAAUUUUAUUUUUACAAAAAAAAUACCUAAUAUAUGACAGAAACUAUUCCUCCAUUCUUUAUACUUGUAAAUUUCUAAUCAUUCAGAAUAAUGUGCAGUUAAUAAUAAUAUGCAGUUAAAAAUAAUUGGAGAUAUCUCAUUCUUGAUUACUGUAUUUAUUCUGUAUACGGCACUGGCAGAAAGGUUAAAGGUCUUUGAUGCUACACCAAAGUGGCAAGAGACAGAAGCGGUGAACAUAAUAACUGAUCCGCAAAAACUUAAGGCUACAGAAACAGUAGAAAUUUUGAUAAAAAAACUAAGGGAAAGACAGUUAUAAACAACCCGCAAAAAAAUGAGUUUAGCGUGGGAGUAUUGCAGUAGAAAAGAAACACACAUAAGACAAUAACAAAUGGAAAAGAAUGACAAUGAUGUACUGAUUAAUAAGGAUAGAAGGAAGUUAAAAGUGAUAGGGAAGAAGUACUAUUAAUAACAGGAUUAACACAAAUAUUAGUAAAGUUAAGAACGGAGGUGUAGUUUAUUUUUGGUAGUAAAAAGCUCCUUCUAAGAAUUCAUAAACUUUUGAGAAUUCGAUUAUAAAAUGUUUUGAAUUAGAACAAAAAUUCUAGAACUGUAUAUUGUUUGUUCGUUUUUAUAUGUUAGCAUAUUAUUACUGAUGAGGGUUCGAGUGAACCGAAAGUACUUUAAUUAAUAAAAAUCUGUUAUAGUAUUUCUGAAGGUUUA